ACCCCCUGGCGGUGGGCAAAGAGACACCUCAUUGGUAGUGGUGUUCUUACAUCACUCAGGGGCAGAGCAGAUGACAGUCCUUUGUUCAUCCUAGCUUGGUGCCUGGGUCAGUGGCCAAGGCUAUUUCAUGCCUAGGGCACAUUU
RNAcentral lists this small nucleolar RNA (144 nucleotides) under Castor canadensis (American beaver). RNAcentral describes it as "Small nucleolar RNA SNORA48 (ENSCCNG00000016183.1)". It matches the Rfam family "Small nucleolar RNA SNORA48". From Rfam's summary of the family: The snoRNA ACA 48 has been identified to guide pseudouridylation of the residue U3797 in the 28S rRNA subunit. Its host gene EIF4A1 (eukaryotic translation initiation factor 4A1) is shared with U67 and snoRNA mgU6-77 Lineage: Eukaryota; Metazoa; Chordata; Mammalia; Rodentia; Castoridae. The record is from Rfam by way of RNAcentral.